GCGUUGUCCGGAAUUACUGGGCGUAAAGAGCGCGUAGGCGGCACGGUACGACACAUGUGAAAGCCCCCGGCUCAACUGGGGAGGGUCAUGUGUUACGGCCGAGCUAUAGAGUGCAGGAGAGGGAAGUGGAACUCCGGGAGUAGCGGUGAAAUGCGUAGAUACCCGGAGGAACACCAGUGGCGAAGGCGGCUUCCUGGUCUGCGACUGACGCUGUGGCGCGAAAGCU
Molecule: ribosomal RNA, 226 nt
Filed under: uncultured bacterium
Lineage: Bacteria
Description: partial 16S ribosomal RNA
Rfam family: Bacterial small subunit ribosomal RNA
Source: RNAcentral